UGCUUUUUCUUUUCAGGUACUCGUUUGUAUCGGAACCAAGUGGCUGGAGGCAGCCCUGUUACACGCCUGUUUCAGGUAUUGGUGGCAUCCAUCAGGAAAUAUAAAGUUGCAGUACCUGCAAAUAAAUCUAUUUUACAUGAGACAGCAGAUAAAGAGUCCAAUAUCAAAGGAAGCCGCAAGAUUGACCACACGAAUGAUCUCAGGUUAGUGCCUGGACUUUAAUCUUAAUUCUCUUUGUUGCAAAUUCAGACUGUUGCUUUAAUUCCUUACCUUCGGGAUAUGGCUAUAACUUUCAGUUUCUUCGACAAAGCGGCAGUGGAAAUCGAAACUGACCAAUUAAAGGGCUCAGUAAAUCCGUGGAGACUUUGCACUGUUACACAGGUCGAGGAGCUGAAAGCAAUAAUUCGGUUG
Molecule: long non-coding RNA, 411 nt
Filed under: Gossypium barbadense (sea-island cotton)
Lineage: Eukaryota; Viridiplantae; Streptophyta; Magnoliopsida; Malvales; Malvaceae
Description: long non-coding RNA (GBAR_LNC015988)
Source: RNAcentral